AAACUUUCAACAACGGAUCUCUUGGUUCCGGCAUCGAUGAAGAACGCAGCGGAAUGCGAUAAGUAAUGUGAAUUGCAGAAUUCAGUGAAUCAUCGAAUCUUUGAACGCACAUUGCGCCCCCUGGUAUUCCGGGGGGCAUGCCUGUCCGAGCGUCAUUA
RNAcentral lists this ribosomal RNA (158 nucleotides) under Arachnomyces glareosus. Its description in RNAcentral is "5.8S ribosomal RNA". It matches the Rfam family "5.8S ribosomal RNA". From Rfam's summary of the family: 5.8S ribosomal RNA (5.8S rRNA) is a component of the large subunit of the eukaryotic ribosome. Lineage: Eukaryota; Fungi; Ascomycota; Eurotiomycetes; Onygenales; Arachnomycetaceae. The record is from RNAcentral.